UGGAAGCAUGGGGAGCCCUUCGCUCUCAGC
This 30-nucleotide non-coding RNA is filed under the name Rattus norvegicus (Norway rat). The record is from RNAcentral. Lineage: Eukaryota; Metazoa; Chordata; Mammalia; Rodentia; Muridae.